This 23526-nucleotide long non-coding RNA is filed under the name Oryza sativa (Asian cultivated rice). RNAcentral's name for it is "long non-coding RNA (OSAT_LNC001179)". Lineage: Eukaryota; Viridiplantae; Streptophyta; Magnoliopsida; Poales; Poaceae. The record is from RNAcentral.
UUCCUUCUGCUGCUUGAUCAAGGCGCGCAUCACCGCAGUUCGUCUAGAUUCUGUAGUAAACACUCUUGUUUCGAAGCUCUUGUUUGGAACCCAGCUGAGGUAGGGGAAGAAAUCUCUCCAGUCGACCUCAAUUGCGCACAUCAUCAUGUCAGUCACAGUAGCAUUGUAGAUUUCUUCCUUCGAAAUGUCCCUCCCAAAUUCAUCCACAUAGACUGAACUCACAUCCUCUCCUAAGCUCUGAAGUUUGCGACAUUAAUUAUUAGUACCGAAAAUAACAAAUCGACCAUCUGACAGUUCAAGUUCAGAGAGACAAUCCAAACCUGGAUCAUGGACAACCGGAAUAGCUCAUCCUUGAAAACAUCUCUGAAUAUCAGAGGAGCAUGUGGGUCAUCUUUCACCAGUUGAUGGAAAGUGCUUAACAUGUUAUUGAUGAUCAUAUCUCUUGUGUCACGAAAUUGUUUCUGAAAUUUAUGAAAACGCGUUGCGUUGUUAGACCACAGAUAAGUGAAACUCUGAAAGUGUAACUGGUAGCAGAUAAUCAAUAUUGGAAAUGCAGACUGGAGUUAUUGAGAACAAUCAGUACUAAAAAUGAAAAAUGAAAUUGUUGAGAUGUAUACCUGUGCAGAAGUACCCAGCAUGCUUAACAUGAUAUAACGCUUCCCCAUUUUGUGGAAAUCACCACUGUCGCUGGUAGCAACCAUGGAUUUAUCAUGACUAAGCACUGUUAGUGCUUUGGAUAGCUUUCGGGUAGAUAUGGAUGAGAAUUUUGCAACCAUCGCCUGCAAAAGAGAGUACAGUAUUGGUUUGUGUUAUUUAUGAUCAAAUCAAAUGUGAGACCAUCAUUUUAGAGUUAUGCAAGUCGAUAGAAAUGAUAGACAACUUCUAAGUUACCUCCUUGGCUACUUCAGUUGAAUUGAGCACAACUACGGAAGAAGCCCCGGUCCUUAUAGUGUAGAUUGGGCCAUAAAUUUCAGCCCAUUUUGUGAAGGUCUGAUGAGGCUUCUUUUCUUUCAAUUGAUGCAGAUUUCCGAUUAUGGGUAAACCAGGAACAGCUGCAUGACAAUGAAAUAAGGAAUAAGUUCAUUUGAGGUCCCUUAGCUUUACACCGAAUCCGAUUUUCGUCCUUAAACCCCAAAACUAGAUAUAACAGGUCCCUGAACUGUCAAAACCGGCACAAACAAGAUCCCUUGACGAUUUAGAAGGCGGUUUUAACUGACGUGCCAACUACAUGGCUGGUUUGACUAGGUCUUCGUCCCACGUGGUAUUGACGUGGCGCUUACGUAGCAAUUAUAUCUCGGAAAAAUAAUAAAAACCGUGGGCUCAAAUAAUUUAAAAAUGGUUAAAUUGCGAGACGAAUUAAGCCUAAUUAAUCCGUAACCUACUAGACAAAUUUAUUAAGCCUAAUUAAUCUAUUAUUAGCAAAUAUUUACUGUAGCAACACACUAUCAAAUCAUGGAGCAAUUAGGCCUAAAAGAUUCGUCUCGCAAUUUAGAUGCAAUCUGUGUAAUUAGUUUUUUCCGUUUAUAUUUAAUACUCCAUGUAUGUUUCCAACAUUCGAUGUAACAGGAUGAAAAAAUUUGCCAGGGAUCUAAACAAGCUCUACAUGGAGUGCUAAGUAUAUGCUUAAUUAGCGGCAUUACUAAAAUGAAGACCAGAUGGUCAGAGAGAAGAAUUAAAUUUAAAAAUACACUGUUCAUUCGUUGGUUUCUCAAAAAUAUUCAGAAUGUAAAUUUAUUAGAAGAAAUAUACCGUCGAUCUCGUAUAACCAUUCCGCGAAAGUGACGUGGGAGUGACGUCGUGAACGGUCUCGCGCGAGGAGAACGCGAGACUGCACGGUAUCGCGUGAUCAUAGCGCGAGACCGGUCUCGCACGACGAAAUAGCACUGAACGACGGAAUCGAGGAUGUACGCGGUGGCGACGUCAGACCACGUGGUCUCGCGCGGCCAAACCGCGAGACCGAGCAGUCUCGCUCAGUCAGUGAGCGAUAGCGACUGCCUCUGCCGAUUGAAUAAGGUUAAUUAGUGAUUAAUUAAUCGCUAAUUAGAAUAAUUAAUCACUAAUUAUUGUUAAUGAAUCAUUAAUUAGGGUAAUUAAUGACUAAUUAAGUAGCUCCGUUGGACAUGACAUUUGGUCUCGCUGAUUCUUUAUACGAGACUGUUCGGUCUCGAUGCUUCAUCACACGAUACCGUGCGGUCUUGCGCUCCUACCACGCGACACUGGUAUAUUUUCGCUAAAAAGUAUAUAUCACGAAUAUUUCUACGAAAAACCAAAUUAAUAGUAUAUUUUUAAAUUUAAUUCGAGAACUAAGACCCAAAACUAAAAACGGAAGGCACAAUAGGCUUAAUAUCUAAAGCUAAAUCGAUUAGAACUAGGUGUAAUCAUAUUCUACGAGUCGUCGUGAUUGGCCGUUUGUUCGUAUUCUGCUAUCCAUCUUCUACAGUUCUACGAGUCAUAUCACGUUGAUCGUGAUAACAUGUUAAGUUUUAAGGCCCCAUUACACCUUACGCACCAUAACCUCUAAUUCCUUCUACGGCCCUCUAAUUCCACCAACCACACCUCCAUUUAUAGUUCGUUUAAAUAAAAUAGUAGGGUGGUCCGCACAUUUGCAACUUGAUUUUUUUUAAAGUUUUAAUAUCUAACAAUAUUACUCAAAAACAAAUAUUCACAUAUUUGCAUGUUGAUAAUGUGCAUUUUUAUCUAUUUACACAAUCACACACUACCAAAGUUUCUCUUAUAUUCAACCAUCAAUACCAGUCUGCAUCAUGCUCAAUCACAGUUACUAUUUGAUACUCCCUACAAUCUAGUCUCUAUUCUAGGAUGAUUGAGCAAGAUGCAGACUAGGUCUGCUUCUCACUUAUUCAUACUUAAUUAUUUGAUAGUACCAGAUUGAGCAGGAUGCAGACCUGGUCACUUUCCUGUGCGACAAGUGUUGUUUCUAUUCAAAAUUUCUUUCUACUCUAAUUUUACCAACACAGACAUACUUUUGUCUUUGUCUUACGUGGAUAGAAAUGGAAUUUUCUAUUCUAGGGGUGUUUAGAUCCAUCGGUGUAAAGUUAUUAUAUAGGGUGUUGCAUGGGGUGUUCGGGCACUAAUAAAAAUACUAAUUACAGUAUUCGUCAGUAAACCGUGAGACGAAUUUAUUAAGCCUAAUUAAUUCGUUAUUAGAACAUGUUUAUUAUAGCACCACAUUGUCAAAUCAUGGAGCAAUUAGGCUUAAAAGAUUCGUAUCGUAAAGUAGUCGCAAUCUGUGUAAUUAGUUAUUUUUAAGCCUAUAUUUAAUAUAUACUUCGUGCAGGUGUUCAAACGUUCGAUGUGACAGGAUGUAAAAUUUUAGGUGGGAUCUAAACAUCCUGAUAUUUUAGGACCAUGCUACCCUCGCACAUCUACGUCCAAUUAAAAAAAAAAACCCUUGUAUUCAAACUGGAAAGCAGACAGCUAGUCAAAUUUGUUCAUGGAUUCAACAUAAUAUGGUUCCACCAUGAUCUAACAGUGUAGAUUUUGUUUUUUUUCUACAAUUAAUGUUGUAAAUUCUAGUCUCCAUUGCAAACAUGAUAUCUCCUUCCAAGAAUAUCUUAAUAAUAUUAUAGAUAAAUAUAGUUUCAUCUCGAACCAUAAUUAAUCUCGUGUUAUGUUUUAGACCAACACUUCUCUCAAUAUUCCAUAACUUUUACAUCCAAUUUUAGUUAUAUAUAAAAUGUAUUUCCGAAUGGACUCUCUUUUUUCUUUUUCCCCACAAAUGUUAUUUUAUACGUGUUAUUUCUAUAUUUUUAAAUCAUACUUUGAAUAUUUAAUUAUUAUAUAUUCUAUGGACUCCUCUUGGUAUGUUGUCUUACUUAUUUUUAUUUUUUUCCCAAAUUUUCAUGAUUCUUUUAAAUUUUAUUUGGAAUUAGUAUUGUAAUAUAGUUUAUUAUAUUUUUUUUAUUUUGAAUAUAACUAAUCUCGUGUUGUGUUACAGGUUGACUCCUCUUUUUAGUACUUCUUUUUUACGAGUUUUAGUUAUUCCCAAAUUAUAUUUUUAUUUGAACUCUUUUAUUUGUUUAUUCUCAAUUUUAAUUAAUCUCAUGUUAUGUUUAGAUAGACUUUUCUUUGAAAAUUUCUUGUUUUAAUUUCAAAUUUAUGUUAUUUCUGUAUUUGAACUUAUUUUUCUUUUUCUUCAAUUAAUAUAGAAGUUUAUAGCCUCUAUAACAAAAGUGGUGCAUUAUUUUAAGUUGUCAGUUUAAUAAAAACGAAGAUGAAAAAAUAUUUACACCGUGGGGGUAAGCUAGUGUAGUACUCCCUCUGUCCCACUUAGUAAGUUGUGCACUCAAUUUAAGAUUCAGUUCUUUAAAUUUUGACCAAUAAUACUUUAUUAUAAAUUAUGUCUUAUUUGACAAAAAUAAUAUCAUUGAAUUUAUAUUUGAAUUUACAUGCAUAUAAUUGUGAUUUUGUUGCUACAAACAUUUUUCUAUUUUUUUGUAUAAUUUAUGAAGAUAAUUUUGAUUUUGUAUUUUUAUAAUUUAUGCAGAUAAGGGUCAUACCGUAUUCAUCUUUGUAUUUUUUUUUCCAGAUACAAAACCGAAUAGGUCGGAUAUGAAAACAAAUAAGAAUUAUCUCUAAUGCAAAUAAUCAUCAAAUAUAUCCGACACGAAUACCAAGAAUUUAUUUCUCGGAACACAAAAACCACCUAAACAUUUAAUAGAAACAAACACCAACACACAUAAUUAGCUCUUUUUAUAUAAUAAGGUUGAUCAUAGACUAAACAGUGCUAAUUAAGUUCUACAUGCAUGUAUAACAGAGUUGGUAAAAAUACAUAUAUAACUGAUAUUAUAAUAUAUAAAUAUAGUAUAUUUUAUAAAAAUAUUUAAAAAUUUAAAUAAUAUUAAUAAUAAAAUCUAAAGAGGUAUGUUAAAGAUGAGUUAGAGAGAAAUGGUAUAUGUUUUAUGUCUUCAGCAGAUAUGCGAUAUAUGUAUCCGACAAAAAUUCUGAUACCAUAUUCUUGUUCGCAUCCGGGAAAACAAAUAUAUGUAAAAACUAUCCAAUAAUUAUCUGCUCCGCACGAUAUCCGUAUUCAUUUUUCUUCUGUAGCAGAAACUAUCCACUCCAUUUUCAUCGCUAAUUAGGGUCAUCAGCUGCAUGCCAUCUCCAACAUUUCAAUGAAGCUAGAUAGGUAGAUAUAUAUCCACAGGCCAGGAAGCGGACGGCAAAACACGGCAAUGGAUCGAUCGAACGAUCGACGAACGGGCCCGGCCGGCCGGUUACCUGGAGGCGGGUUGCGGCGGUUCUUGGGCGGUGCCACGGCGAGUGUCGCCGCCGCGAUAAACCCCCCGACGGCCGCCGCCGCCACACCGAUCCCUCCCGCACCGGCUGCGAGCAGCGACUCCAUGGCCGACCCCUACUCAGAUCGAUCGAUCACACAGGCUCACUGCGAGAGUUUGCACUUGCACUGCAUUCUCUUGAUGAUCAAUCCCCGGUUUAGUACUAGUAUUAUAUAUAGGGCUGCGGCUGUGUUCGCCAUUGCUGGUCCCCAAUGGGAACAGUACGCACGGAAAACAUAGCAAUCCAUUAGUGUGUGAUUAAUUAAGUAUUAGCUAAUAUUUUUUAAAAAUAAAUUAAUUUGAUUUGUUAAGCAACUUUCUUAUAGAAACUUUUUUUAAAAAACACACCGUUUAGCAGUUUAAAAAACGUAUACGCGAAAAACGAGGGAGAGGGGGCUGGGAAAAGGGGCAGCCGAACAGAGGCGCCUUCGCUGUCCGAACCCGCAUAUAUGUUCAUGCAUGGCGCUUAAUUUCUUUUACCCUCAAUUUGAUUGACUUGGGAACUUAGGUCGAUAAAAUUAUGCUGCGCUCCUAGUAUUCUGAGCACCAAACAUGUAUCAGCCCAGGUCUACCUCGCCCCACGUCCCUUUAUCCCACUCCCACCGUUAUCGAAGUAAACGAUUUAUUUCGAUAAAAACAACUUUCCAGUUUCCACAUCCCAUCAUCCCGCUCCCAUCGUUAUUGGAGCAAAUGAUUUAUUUCGAUAAAAUCAACUUCCCUACUUCUGGUAUAUAUUAUAUUUUUCCAUGUACCCAACUAACCACUCUCACCCCCACUUCAUUUUUUCCUCUUUUUUUUUGGAUCUAAAUCGAUUCACCAUCCUAGCCCAUAGAUCUGUGACGCACCAUGGAGGAGGACGACGGCACCGUGGCAGUUGAGGCGAAGGUGUUGCAUGGGGCCUCAUUGCCAGACGCUGGGUAGCACCGUAACCAACAAGGAUGUGUUCACUUGGGCCAAGAGCAACAACCGGCGGCUGCUCCACGUCGACGACGUUGAUUGAUAGGACAAGCAAGUAAGGAAAUGGCACUCCAAUUUGCAUCUGUAUACCCUCCUUCACCUUCAUGCAUGAAGCCCAAUUUCCUUUUGCAAAUCAAAUUAACGUACAAUCUCCAAUAUUACCUAAUGUGAAUUGAUGGGCUACACAGGUUCUACAUUUACACACCGUGCUACAUGUGGAUGGCCGUAGAGGUAGAGGAUAUUAUGAAGUCCACUGGUGAUGGUGAUCGUUUGUUAUUUUUCUUUGGCUCGUCGUGUCUAUGACAGGAACGAGAGUGUUUUUGCAUUUUUUUUUAUGCUUGCUAGAUGAUGGAUGGCUGCUACUUCGCAUCAUCAAGCUCAUCUCUAUACCACGCCGCUACAUCCUUCUAUGAUUCCAUCAUCGACUACCGCUCACCACCCAGUUGCCCUAUCCACUACCAGUCACAAGACAUAGACUAACCUCUCCAUCCUUAUAUAUAAAAAGAUCUAGCAAAGCCACCAGGAUCCUAGCUUCAAGAUGGAUUUUUGACUGAAUCAUUUUUUUUCUUUUCUAGUUUGAUUCACUUGUGAGUAAUUUAUCACUUGCGUAUGAUUGAGCCUAUAAUUUUUUUACUCGUAUGGCCAUUUUGUGAUACAGAUUAAUAAUACUCUUAGUAUCAGUUUUUAGUAUCAGUUUUUACUCUUAUACUGUGUAUUGAACACAUCAGUAAACAUAUUAUUAUACGGUGGCUAUAAGAUCAUAGGUUAUAUCGAGAGGAAGGUGCUAGUUAUCUUACUCGCAGACCAUGAAGUCUAAACAAUAUUUAUAACAAAUCACCCACAUAUUUUGGAAACCCUCUAUUAAGGGAAUUUGGUUUAUUUUUUGUUCCAGAAAAAAUGUUUCACCUAGUGUACUCACAAUGUUUCACUAUGUAUAGGUCUAAUAUUGCAGUGAACUGAAAUAUUCCAUUGCAACAAAAAACCCACAUAUUUUGGAAACCCCCUAUUAAGGGAAUUCGUUUCAUUUUUCGUUCCGCCGAAAAAUGUUUCACCUAGUAUACUUAUAAUGUUUCACUAUAUAUGGAUCAAAUGUUGCAGUGAACUGAAACAUUUUUUCGUUAUUUGCUGAAACAUUAUUUUUAUAUAAGGUGAAACAACACCUGAUUUAAAUGAGUGAAACAUUUUCGAUGAAACCAUUCCGAUAUACCUAGUGGAACAUCGUGCAAUAUUUAAAAAUAAUUCAAUAAUAAGCUAAAUUUUUUUCGUCAGAAUAUAUCCAUGUGUGGUCUUGUUUUGAAGAUUUAAUUGUAAUGAAUUUAAUGGUGCAAUCAGAUCAUGAUUUGGAUAAGUAAUUUAAGAGAAAAAUCAGUUUAAAGUAGUUUUGCACGUAAAUCGGCUGCUGACGUCAUGCUGACAUCAGCGCCCGAUUUUAACCUCUUCCCAUCGGGCGCCUGAGCCGGAGUCGCGUCCUUGUAAGCUGGUAGUAAUUCUUUUACAGCCAUCUAGGAAUGGUGCCGUAUGAUGUGAGUAAAUUUAUUACUUUUGAAGGGGGUAUUUAUGUGAGUAAAUUUGUCACUUUUAAAUGAGCAGAUGUGGGAGUCUGGGAGUAGAUGGAAAACUCUGGGCCAGAGUAAAUUCGUUAGUUUUGAAAUGUGGGGAGACUGUAAAAACAGAAAACUCGGAAAGAAAAACUAACAGCAAAUAUUUUACUAAACACAAAAACAGAAAAACUGGAGAGAAUGAAUGUAACACGAAAUCUGGAUGGUUAAUAUUUUAUCAGGCCCUUUCAUGGAGCGCAUAUGAGAUGGAAAAGAGAAAAAAAACACGAAAGGUGGGGUGGUAAAAAAACGGACAGAGAAAAGGUGGGAUGCAGAGGAAAGGUGGGUGCCAAAAAAGGGUAAAACCGAAAGGAGGGAGCAUUGUGCGGCGCUCGAACUAAUAUUCCGCGCGCAGCGUGUAUUAGCGCCACCGAAAAUUAUAUCUAUUUUUUUAAAGAAGGUAACAUAAUUUUCGGAUCUCAGGGAUUCCGAAAAUUAUAUAAAUCGAUAUACUCCCUCCGUUUUCAUGUUAGAAGAUGUAAUUGAGCAUGGUUUCCGAAAAUACCAGCAGCUGGUUGGCUCACCAAAGCUAGUCAAACAAACGUUUUUUUACCAAUAUCAUGAGCAUGGUUUGAAACUACAGAGCGAAAAUUUGGGAAUUUUGGGUCUAUCAGAUCCCUGAUAAGAAAUUAUUUUACCCAAAAUUUUGGAUUUAUUUGGUAAAAAAUAUUCAAUUUUAAACUAUUUUUUUUUAAAAAAAAUAUUUAAGAACAAAACUACCGUAAUUUCUGAAAUUUCGGUACUAUCCAUACACGAACAAAAAUAGUAAAAACCAACACUGCACUCUGAUAGUCAAUGGCGAUAACUGCAGCACGGUUUGGAGUCCAAAUGACCCGCACCACAGAUUAGUUCAUUAAUUGGUCAUAGCCACCGGUCCUGCUGGUGUGUUAUUAUUCAAAGUUCAAACAAUGUGUUACUGCUCAGGACAACUACUUCAGAAGCAUGUACGUACUAAAGCUUGAAUCAGUUGGAAGUAAUCGUUGAAAUUACUUGUGUACAAUUAAUAUUGCUAUAAUGGCCAAUUUAUCAUCGAAAGACAAACAGUUCUCUUAAACUUGGACAAAAAUAAUAAAGUAAUUACUCCCUCCGUCCUAUAAUAUAAUGGAUUUUGGAGGGAUGUAAUACAUUCUAGGACCAUGUAUCCCCUGCUUUGAUUGUCAAUAUUGAUUUUGCCCCUAUUUUUAGGGUUUUCGUUUUUACCCCUACUUUUUUUUAAAUGAAUCAACCGUUUGCCCCUGUUUCAUUAAGUUUUGCUAACGGUGUUAAAUAUGGGGGGUAAAAAGACAAGUAUACCCUUAGAUAUUUUCCCGUACUUUUGACAUAAUCAAAAUAAAAAUUGAUUGCUGUCAUUAUAGCAGUAAUUUAAUUUGUCAAAAUUUUGUGAAAGUUGCCAAAAUUUAGGUCAAAUUUGAAAAGUGGUGUACAAAAAUACGGGAAAAUAUCUAAGGGUAUACUUAUCAUUUUUACCCCACAUUUAACACCUUAGUAAGAAUUAACAGAAUAGGGGCAAAUGGUUGUUUCAUUUCAAAAAAGUAGGGGCAAAAACGAAAAUCUUGAAAACCAGGGGCAAAAUCAAUAUUGGACAUCGGAGUAGGGGCAAGAACGAAAUUGCCCCAAAAAAUUAAGAGUUGCAGCCCUAUCAAAUAUGUCCUUAUAACUUACAGGCAUGAUAAACAAACCUUAGAGUUUACUUAUAAGGGUUUUAUAUGAUUAUCCCCUUGAUUUGGCUAUUUACAGGGGCAUUCUUACCCUUUCAUAGCCUAUCAUGGGCCCAUCGGACAUAACCAAGGUGGCCCCUAUUAGGAGCCUUCUCCUGAGCCAGUCAUCCUCGGCCUAGCUAUCCUGCGAGAUUACGCUUGUGAUUAUGACUCAUAGCUGUCAUGCUCUGAUUUUCUCCCAAGGAUUAAAAUUAUUCGAUAAUUUAUACUAAAACUUAAACCAUUUACAAAGUGAAGUUAUUGUUGGAAAUAAAAUUUUCUUUAAUAAAUCAUUGUUGGAAAUAUUUAUUAAAGGAAUUAAAUCUAGCCUCUAACAGGAACUAUUUUUUAUUGUCCAUUUUCGUAUAGUAUGUAUACCACAUCCCACAAUUGUUGCGAUACAACAUAAUCUCUAUCUCUACUAUUAUUAAAAUUAAAGAUGUUUUUAUUGGGAUUUUGGUAUGUCAUUUAUAGUAUCAACUAGGUGAUACCCCGCGCAUUGCCGCGGGAUUCAUGAAUGAAUAUAUGUUAAAUAUUUUUGAAAUGAUAAAAGUUGAAAUGUUGAGAAAAUAAUUUGAGGAAGAUGAUUUGACACAUACUUAUUGAUAUAUGAGUAAAUUAUAUUGCCGGUACACGAACUUGUUCAGGUGGGUGCAAAAUUUAGUGCACGAACUUGCAAAAUGCUCGUUUUGGUGCAUGAACUUAUCUGGUGCAUGUGGAGGAAGGUGAAAAGGACACUACAUGUCUAAUCCUAUUGAUUUAGAAGCAGAUUAGGAUAUUGUGUAAACAUAUAUCUGAGAAGGUUGCUAUUAGACAUACACCUUUUCAAUAAAAAAUAGAAUAGGAUAUAGUGAUUGGAGAAAAGGAUUAAAAAAUUCGAGCAAUGAUAUAAGGGUUAGAAAUAUAUAAAAUUCAUUAUUUCCAUGAUGAAGGAUAAAGUAGAGACCAAAUUUAUAAAUAUUGCAUUUCUUAUGCAUACUCACUAGACGUACGCACGUUAGAUCCUAAUCAACAUCAGCUUCGUAAAAUUAACAUUGCCAAGUUAUUUUGGUCCUCGUUCGCACGAACUAGACAAGUUUGUGUACUGAAACGAACAUUUUACAAGUUUAUGUACUAAAUUGCACUCACCCAACAAGUUUAUAUACCGCCAAUGCAAUUUACUCUUGAUAUCUAUAAUAUAAUAUUGUAGAUGAUGUGUCAUACUUGCAUGAGAUUUAAAUAGGCUAGAAUAGUAAUUGCUAGUGGGUGAUGAUAUGGCAUGCUUGCAUAUUGAGCUUUAGCUUCUAAUAAUUGUUAGUGGGUACCAACUAUAUAGAAAGUAUACAUAAAGUUACCUGGUCCUCCUCCUCCUCUCGUCUAGACUUAUCAAUAAACCAUCUUCAUCAUUUCUUAUCUCCGCCCUCUCAGCUUAGAUAUGUAUCGGGUAUCAAUAUGUACAACUGGUACCGAAGAGGUAUCAGUUGGUACCUUCAGGUAUCGAACGAUACUUAUAAAGUAUCAAAUCUAGAGUAAAUUUCUUCUAGACCUUUGAAAACUCACCCAAUUCUCUUCAUGCCCCUGAAAUUUACUCGAUUCUUUCUAUAUCCCUGAAAUUUCAACUUGAUCCCUUCCAUACCCCUGCUGUUACAUUUUCCUUCAUUUUGCUGCUAAGUUUGGUUGCAAAUGUCUUUUAUAUACUUGAUAAUUUAGGUUUGAAUAUACGCUUGAAAACGAUUGAAAAUUUUGUUUGAGUGCAAAAUAUGUGCAUUUUAUGAAAUUAAUGAGAUUAAAUAAUUAGUGUAGAAAAUUUUGACAUAAAUUUUGAAAAUAAAACAGAUGUAAUAAUUUAAAUUCUUAUUUGAAAUUUUAAUAGGAUAAUAGAAUGGAAGCAUUCAUAAAAAAAUAUCAUGAGCAUUAGUAGUCUAUCUUUGUAUGAAUGCUCCUCAUUUUUUAUAGCUUUUUAAAAAAUAAAAUAAAUACAUUUUCUAUUUCAUUAUCUAAAAUUAUUUUUUCAUAAAUAAUGUAUCGCACAACAAACUCAUAACUAUAAUAGUCUCAUGCGAUAAACUUUUACAUUUUCAAUAAUAUAAUUCAUAAAUUUCUAUGUUUAUCCAAAGGGUAAAAUGGUCAUUUUUAUAGAAAUUAGACGGUCAACUAGAAAGAGGGGUAUGGAAGGGAUCCAAAUUAAAUUUUAGGGGCAUACAAGUAAGAAAAAUUCAGGGGCAUAGAAGGAAUUAGCUAAAAUUGUACGUGAAAAGAGAUGUCUAUCCACGUGCGCAUGACAACAUCAACCAAUCAACCAUCAUUACACUGAUAAUCUCUUUACACUGAUAUUUUUCUAUGGAACCUUCGAUGAUUUAUAUUUUUAAACCGUGCAUUAUUUUUAAGAUCCAAUUUAACCAUUGUACUACACUCAAAAUAUAUCAUAAAUUGAGUCCAAGAGUAUAUUCUUAUAUUUAAUAGUAAUUUACUCACAUUGUAGAAGUAACAUAGUUUUCAGUUUUACAAUAGAAGAAACUUUUCUCUAGCAUUGAAAGAAAACAUAUCGCACUAUAUUGAAAUAAGAAACUAUACGAAGUAAAAUGUGGAGAAGAUUACAUGACUAAAUACAAUUAUUUUUUUUAUUUGGAAGUAAUCGCUAUAUUUUUUUGGAAAGAGCAAUAUGGUGUCAUAUAAUAAGUACUAGAAAGAAACAGCCACUCCGCUGCGUGCGCGGAAUAUAUAGUUAAUGGCACAUAAUAAAUACAAAUGUCCGGUAUGUAAACAUCGAUAUGGUAAUCUAACACUACGUGGGGAAAUAAUUUACAUCGAGGAUGCUAGGAUCCAUCUCUUUCGGGGAGUCAAGGAGCGCUCUUCCUCAUUUUUAGAGAAGUCCACAAAAACAUGGACUUUCAGAGAAACAUUCAACAUUUCCGCAUAGCUAUGCUCUUCAUGACACCUGCCGAUGCAAAGAUGAUUGUCUUUUUAAGAUUGAUAAUAAACAACACAUCAUUACAUGUAUUCGCAACAAUCUAUAUAGUAGAUGACAGAUACUUCCUUUGCAAAGUGGCAUUGAAUAAUGAGAUAUGUUCUACAUCAUGUCUAAAGCUAAAUUUUGCAUGGCCACUCAUUUAUCAGUAUAUUCGAUCUCAUCUUCCCAAGAGGGGCAAUAAACAUGGCACCGAUAAAUCCCAAAUAAUCUAAUGAAAAUUCCUAGCAAAAAAAUGGCUUAACAAAGUCAUACCGUGAAAUCCAACUUGUAACGAAAAGUUCAUAAGCAUGUUUACCAAGGGAAAAAUUCAGUAUGAAAGGAUGGACCAGUAACAAAUUCCAAAACAAUCAUGUGCAAGAUGCUUGCCUGAAAAAGAUAAUAGCAGUCCCACACAUGGCACAUAUUGUGUAAAAUUGAUUAAAUUUGAGGCAGAGAUUUGAAAGAACAGCAUCUCACAUGCCAAAAGAUACCGAGGUAGACCAAGCACAAAAUAUAAUUAUACAAAUAGGUGGACAUAAAUGGCAAUUUGUAUUUGAGUAAAGGAACGCUACAGUGGAAAACCGUUGUUUGAAAUCUUGACAUAUCUUAUAGAAGAAAAAUGCUUUUCCCUUGUAAGAAUCCAACAACUUUUACUAUGCUUCUUUUGAAAAGACUGGACAGAAACCAUAUACACAGCAGCAACGUGCGUAAAUAGCCAAGAAAGAAGCUACUAAAAAUUUUGUGUAAACAAACUUGUCAGCGUCACAAUAAAUAUAUAUGUAGAAUGCAUUCAGAAACAACACAUAACAGUUUAUACCAUGCAUAAAAUUUCUGAUGCAGUAGACACUUUGUUGCUCUGUUUUUAGUUCUAUUGGUUUGAAACAGCGGCGAUCAACAAACUACAAAGUGGCAGAAUCAAUACCAGGAUCCACGAAAAUAUAGACCACCCGAACACUUUUGAACCAAUGUUUUCAUGUGAAUCUUUCUAUUGUAUAUGCAAUAGCACUAAUGAUUUUUAAGGAUGGAAAAGAAGGUAAUGAUCCCACCUUGUUGCUCAAAGAAGAAACCUCCCCAACUGUAGAUCAGCUGACUUGGGCAGAAGAUAAGCACUCGCAUCAUUCAGAGAAACAGUCUCAAGUUUAUAUCCAUCUGUUGGACCUGCAAGAAAAACUGAAGUAUAAGUAUUAUUUCACAUUGGGAUCCAGACAAACAACCAGGAGCUUAUUAAACACAUUUGCAUUGGAAAUGUAACAGUUAUUUUUGUCUCCGUUGUUGCAUUUAGCAAUACAUAUGAGCUAUUACGAAUGGUUCAUUCAAAUAAAGUUUAGAAGUAAGAAACAUUGGGGCAAUAUUUCAAUAUCAGAUGACUAAUAUCACCACCUGUAAUUUCCAAAAUGCUUGAAUCACUUAACAUUAUGUGGGUAAAAGUGUAUAAAUAUUGUAGUGUUUGUCUGAAAGAAAUAGCCACUCAUGCUAGGUUAGAUAAUUAGGCAUCAAUUAAUAAAGCGAGGUUAGGGGGAAUCGGUAGUCUAUAGACCUGGAAUAAGUUUGCACAUAGAGAUUAAGCAUAAGUCAAAAAAAGGAGAUAUGAUAGAAACUUUAAGAAGUCAAAUUCAAAGAUUUGACAUAGUAAUAACCCAAGAUUAUUGUGAAAGCAUCAACAUUGCAGAUCUAAGAUUGUCCAUAAAGAACAUGGUAAAUGCAUACAUCAGUCAUUCUAUCAACAAAUAAAGUGGGUAAAUGGAUUAACACAGAAAAAUGACUUGUUCGAAAGGGAAAAGAAGCAAGGGAGAUUCAAGAGACUAGAAGAGUACUUGCUCAUAGUGUAACCACCAUAGCUACCAUGUAACUACACCUAAAUAACAGAAUGAGCAAUCCAAUGGCACAUAUAUCACUGGGAGAAGACAAAAAACAGAGUUAGUACCUCCAAAUAGAAGCCACAGUAGUUGGCACAUGAGCUGAUGCCAUUGCUUUUCUGUGUGUGAUUCUGCAACCGAAUGAGCAGGAGAUCAGUAAAUAGGGAUAAGGAUAGGGAAGGAUCCAGAUCAGAUUUAUAUGCAUAUAACAGUACAAAAUUUAUUAGAUAAUUUAGUGGUUUAAGCAUGAGAAGGCAGUAUAUACCGAAUUAGGGGAUCAUUCCAUGGAUUCACCACAGGUUCAAGAUCACGCUGCAGAGUGAGCACCAGUGCGGAUUGGAUCGAUCGUAUCUAUGAGUUUUAGGAUGAACAGAUAAAGCUAAGAAUUAGGAGGGUUAAAGGAGAAAAAAAAAAGCAACGGGGUUGCAUACCUGACCAAGGCAGCGGACCGGUGCCCUACGAUGACAUGGUGGAGGCGGACAUGCCCUUGAAGGCUAGACCUUGGAGUGGCCCAAAGACCCAAAUCGAUGUGGAUGAUGGGGCAAGAGCAUGCCGUAGAGGACGCGGUCGCGUUGCCAGCGCCGAUGGCCGGUCGGAGUGGUGGCAACCGGAUCCACUAGUGGGGAGGCCGAGAGCAUCUACUGGGAUGGCUCUGUGUCACCAAUCCGUGGCGGCAAAGCUCACCGGAGUUGAGGGACACGAUGAACUGGCAUGGGGAAGAAGAAGAAGAAGAAGACUUAGGCGAGAAGAAGAGACAUAACUUGGGGGAGGAGAGAUUCUUUUUCAUUUCUCAUUUCGUAAUCGUAUCAGUACAACGACAAGGAGAUUUUAUCCUCCACUCACACAGCUGUCUCCUGUGCCCCACUUGGCAUUCACACACACCUACCACUCUCUUUACACAAUACGCUUUCUUGGCGAAGACACGUCUUCUCACUUUACGCUUUCCCCUGUUCUCCUUCCUUUGUCGCCACUGUGAUGUCCGGUAAUGGCACACGUGACAUUUGCCCCCCCCCCCACGAGCACCAGCUUGGCCCCAGACAAGUGCCAAAGGAAACCGAGCACGCAGCACGUCAUAAUCCUCCCAAGUGGCCAAUUCCGGCGACAAAGUACCCCAGCGCACCAGGACUUGAACCACUGCAGCAUUGUCUUUCUUAACCAUUCGGCGAUCCAAAAUCUCAGAUGGAAUCAACUCAGUGGCAUCCAACUGCAGAGUAGAAGGAAGAGUGGAAAACACCGGUGAAGCAUCUGGAAUGUACUGCUUCAAUUGAGACACAUGGAAAACGGGAUGAAUCUCACUAUGAUCAGGGAGCUGCAGUUUAUAUGCGACUGAACCCACUUUAGCCACAACUGGAAAUGGACCAAAAUACUUGAACGCCAGUUUGGGAAAAGGACGAGCCACAACAGACUUUUGAGCAUAAGGUUGCAACUUCAGUAAGACCAAAUCACCAGGCUGAAAUGAGCGCAGUGUGCGCUUAGCAUCAGCUGUCUGUUUCAUACGAUUUUGAGCACGAGACAAAUGAUGUUUCAGUAAAGAAGAGAACAUAGCACGUUCCUGGAAUAACUGAUCAGCAUUAGGAGAAUUAGAAGGACUGUCAAAAGUGGACAGAGUAAGCUCAGGCACCAUACUGCAAGAUGGCUCUUGACCAAAUAGGGCUUUAUAAGGGGAACAUUGCAGAGAGGAAUGGUAACAUGUAUUGUACCAAUAUUGAGCCAAAGGGAGCCACGCACACCAACGUUGUGGAGUAGAAGAAACUGCACACCUGAGAUACAUUUCAAGGCAUUGAUUCACUCGCUCAGUUUGUCCAUCGGAUUGUGGGUGAUAGGUUGUGGACAGAUGUAAAGGAAUCUCAAAGCGCUUGAACAAAGUCUGCCAAAAGUUGCUAGUAAAGACUUUAUCACGAUCUGAGACAAUAGAUUUAGGCAACCCAUAUAAUGAUGCCACAUUGUUCAGAUAGACCUUAGCCACUUGCAAGGCUGAAAAGGGAUGCCUGAGAGGCAAAAAGUGUGCAAACUUUGUAUAUCUAUCCACCACCACAAAGAUUACAUUAGCACCUUUUGACAGAGGUAAUCCUUCUAUAAAGUCCAUAGAAACAUCUUGCCAAGCUGCAGAGGGAAUCACCAAGGGUUAUAAGAGACCAGGAUAAGAGCAAUGCUCAUGCUUUGCUUGUUGACAGAUCAAACAUUGUUGGACAAAUUCUUCCACAGCCUUUUUCAAACCAACCCAAGCAAACAGCUUCUUUACUCUCUGAUAACUGACUAGCACACCAGUGUGACCCCCAAUAGCAGAUGCAUGGAAGGCAGCAAUCAACUUAGUCUAUAAAGCAGAAUUUGCACCCACCUAGAUUUUACCAGCCUUCCUGAUUAAACCAUUAGACAAAGAAAAACCCUUAGCAUUUGGAGAAGAGACAGCUAGCUCACAAAGUAACUGCUGAGCAGAUGAAUCUACAGCAUAGGAGUUGAGAAUCUCCUAAACCCAAACAGAUUGAACCACAGAAAUCCCAAAAAAAUGCCCUACUUUGGAUAGUGCAUCAGCAGAUUUGUUCUCAACUCCUUUUUUAUACUGGAACUUGUACUGUAAUCCAAUAAGCUUAGUCAUCGCCUUUUUCUGUAACUCAGUGUCCAAAGUCUGAUCAUCUAAAUGACAAAGAGCCUUGUGAUCAGUCUUGAUAACAAAAGGACCCCGAAGUAAAUAAGAUCUCCAACGAUCAACUGCCAUCAUUAUAGCCAAAAAUUCUUUUUCAUAUAUAGACAGCCGCUGAUUCACAAUUCCCAAUGCCUUGCUAUAAAAUGCCACAGGAUGUCCUUCUUGAGACAACACAACACCAAUUCCUGUGGCACAAGCAUCAGUCUCAAUCACAAAAGGCUUAGCAAAGUCAGGAAGGGCUAAAACAGGUGUAGAACACAUAGCUUCUUUAAGAGCAACAAAUGCUGACUGAGCUUGAGGUGUCCAUACAAACUUAGCAUUCUUUUGGAGUAACAUGGUUAAAGGUUUUGCCAGGAUGCCAUAAUGUUUGACAAACUUCCUAUAAUAACCAGUUAACCCCAAAAAGCCCCUUAAUUCAGUGACAUUGCUAGGAAGUGGCCAAUCCUGCAUAACCCUAGUUUUUUCUGGAUCAGUAGCCACACCCUCAGCAGAAAUGAUAUGCCCCAAGUAUUCCAACUUAUUUUGAGGAAAAGAACAUUUAGAAAGCUUAGCACACAAUUGAUGUUGCUGCAGCAAUUGUAACACUAACUCUAUAUGGUGAAUGUUAUCCUCCAAACUCCUACUAUAGAUCAAGAUGUCAUCCAUGAAUACCAAUACAAAUUUACGAAGGAAUGGAGCGAAAAUAGAAUUCAUUAAACACUGAAAAGUAGCUGGAGCAUUAGUGAGCCCAAAUGGCAUCACCCGAAACUGAAAAUGGGCAUGAUGAGUUUUGAAUGCAGUCUUAAAUUCAUCAGUUUCUAACAUCCUUAUUUGAUGAUAUCCACUGCGAAGGUCCAGUUUAGAGAAAAACUUGGUGCCAGCCAAUUCAUUCAAUAGCUCAUCAACUAUUGGCAGAGGAAACUUAUUUUUAAUAGUUAAAGAAUUCAGCCGCCGAUAAUCAACACAAAACCUCCAAGAAUUAUCCUGCUUCUUAACUAACAAAACAGGUGAAGCAAAUGGACUGCAACUAGGAGUAAUCAAACCAGCAUUCAACAUCUCCAAAACUUGCUUUUCAAUCUCAUCUUUUUGUGUUGGAGAAUACCUAUAAGGUCUGGAAUUAACAGGGACCGAAUUUGGAAUCAAAGCAAUAGAGUGGUCCAACACACGAUGAGGAGGCAAAGAAUUGGUAGCAGUAAAGACGGAAGAAAACUUAUCCAAUACUGACUGAACAGCUAGUUCAACAGGUGGGGAGCCCUUAGAGAAAUCUGGUUCAAGUACUGCCAUAGCCCAAAUAUAAUUGCCUUGAGUCCACUUAACCACCUGAUGAACAGAUGCCUCAGUAACUGCAGAAAAAGGAGUAGACUGAAUGCCUUGCAAGGUUAUCAAAUCACCUUGAUAGGGAAAUUGAAUGCUUCUAGCAACCCAAUCACACUGCAUAGGGCUAUGUUUGGUCAACCAGUCCAUGCCUAACACCACAUCAUAACCCCCCCAUAGCAAUAACUCUCAUAGGAAAAGAAAAAUGAAAUCCCUGAAUCCACCAAGUAAACUAAGGCACUGUGGCCUCACAAGACAACAACUCCCCAUUAGCCACUUUAACAGAAAUUGGCACAGUUGACACAGGAUGCAGCUGUAACCUAGUACACAAAUCAGCGGUCACAAAGUUGUGUGAACUACCUGAAUCCACCAAAAUCAGAAUAACUUGAUUGCCCACCAUUGCUCGCAACUGUAAAGUAGAAGCAGAACAUGUACCAGCCAUGGCAUGCAAAGAUAAAUUGCAAUCAUCUUCCACCAUGUCAGAUGCCACCACAGCAUCCAAAUUAUCAUCAGACAAAAUCACCUGAUCCUCCUGAACUUCCAUGGCCUUUAGCUGAGCAUUAUCUGGUUUCACACACACAUGUCCAGGCACAUACUUAUCCCCACACUUGAAACAAAGGUCGUGAGCUCGACGAUAUUCCUUGAGUUGCUGUGCUUUCCAUAACUCCCCAGUGGCUAACUUAGGCUUUUCAGGUUGUUUCCAAACAACAGGAUCUCUCUUCUGAAAAUGUCUCUUGCCCACAUUACCAAGCUGUGCCCCCUCAUGAGCCAAAGCCACCAAAUAUGCUUGAGUAAUAGAAGUUGGAUGCACCGCUUAGACAAAAGAACGCAACUCAUCUUUCAAUCCCAACACAAAAUGAUUAAUUAGCCCCGAACCAGACAGAGAAGGAUCAUAGAGCCUAAUCUGAUACACCAACUGAUUGAACUUGGAACGAUAUUCAGUUACUGUGCCGUCUGUGUCAACAAAAUCAGUUCAUCCAUCUUAAGACUCCUGAGAUUAACCUCAAAUUCUCCAGCGAUAGCCAUUUUUAACAUGGUCCAAUCAUGCCAACCCACUUCUAACUUCCACACCUGGUACCAAUUAGCAGCAUCCCCCACUAGAUGCAGAGCAGCAGCUGACACCAUAAACCCCUCCGCAAUUUGAUAAAAGGCAAAAUACGUUUCACAAUUAUCAAUCCACACGCGGACACCAGUACCAUCAAAUUUAGGAAAAUCCAUCUUCGGAGUCCACUGGCGUCGCCCCAAAUCCCCAAAAUCAGAAACAUCAGGAGCAGUUUGAUGACCUGGUACCUGACGAGACCGAUGAACAGGUGGUGGAGGCGGUGGUGUUGGUGGUGGUGUUGAUGAAGAUGAAGAUGCUCCCAACGGCUACUCCGGAGAUGGAAGCAGUGGUGGAGGACGCGGAGGCGGCGGAGGGGGCGGCAGUGGUGGUGUUGGUGGUGCCGCGGCCGCCUUCAGUGCACGCGCCACCUGACUCUGUUCUUGCUGAACCUGGCCGAGGGACGUCAUGGAGAGAUCCACUUUCGUCUGCACCCGAUCUAGCCACUCGCCUUGCUGCGCCAGCUUGAGGUCGAUCUGCGUCAAACGCUUGGCGAUGUCCUCCACACCAUCCACCUUGAGUGCUAGUGCCUUGAGAGUAUCCAUCAAACGCUCCUCCAUAGAUUCCAUCGCCGCCACCAUGUGCCGAACCUGCGCACUAGGUUUUGCUGGUGCCGUGGCGUCGUCUCCUCCAAACCCAAUCAAACCAAACUAUGAUUUACCGCGGCGACAACCCGAAGGAAGACCACGAACGGAGCCACAGGAUUUACUGAUCGAGCCGAGAGAAUGUGAGAGACAGCCCCGAGACCGAACAAAGCGACUGAUACCAACUUGUCACAACCCAAUCCGCGGCGGCAAAGCUCACCGGAGUUGAGGGACACGGCGAACUAGCAUGGGGAAGAAGAAGAAGAAGACUUAGGCGAGAAGAAGAGACAGAACUUGGGGGAGGUGAGAUUCUUUUUCAUUUCUCAUUUCGUAAUCGUAUCAGUACAACAACGAGGGGAUUUUAUCCUCCACUCACACAGCUGUCUCCUGUGCCCUACUUGGCAUUCACACACACCUACCACUCUCUUUACACAAUACGCUUUCUUGGCGAAGACACGUCUUCUCACUUUACGCUUUCCCCUGUUCUCCUUCCUUUGUCGCCACUGUGAUGUCCGGCAAUGGCACAACCGUGACACUCUGAUGAACACCUCGCCGAGCAGAGUGGAGAGGGCGAGGGAUAGGGAAGCGAUGGCCUGUGGCGGCGUAGAGAUGAAAGGGAAGAAGAGGGCAGCGACUCGCAUCCAUCUCAUCUGGGUGGCCGGAUACGCCGGCGAGGAGGACGGCGCCUGGCGCCGCAACGAUGGUUGGAGGAGUGCGAAACUGCGGCGGCAGCGACAACUAUGGCACAUGCGAGGGGAGGAGAGCGUGGUGAUGCACCGAGGGUGGAGGGUGAGGGCGAGGGCGAGGGCUCAUGCAAGGGUGGGGGCGACGGGGCUAGGGUUUGAUGCAGUCGGCGAAAUCGGCACCAUCCAUUCCGCAUCCAACGAUUAAUUUCACGCAUGCGGAAGAGCCACCACAAGGGAUCAACCCUAGAGAGAGAUCAAACGGUUCACGGUGGAUAGCAACUGGGAUCAAUGUAUAAUUAACCAGAAGUACGGGGACUUCUAUGAAAAAAAAUCGCUGACAUGGCGCUCUAAAAUCUCAGCGCUCCCACGGCAUUUAGAGUGGUUAAUAUCUCUUCAUGGUAUUAAAAGUAAUUACAUAGUUAGGGGAAAGUAACUUUUUAAAAGAUAGAAGUAAUUCUUUAUGGCAUUAGAAGCAAGUACACUGCUAGAGGAACUAAAAAAUAGAAGUAAUUUUUCAUAGGAUUAGAUAACACCGUAAAGAAAUCGAAGUAACUCUUAACCGUACGAUUAGAGAAAGUAAGUAUAUAUAUAGAAAAAUAUAAGUAACUGUGAAAUCAUUGUCAUGAUUAAUAUUUUGUAAUGAACAAUUGGCUUUAUAAAUGAUUGUUUUAGUGAAAUUGGUUUGAAAUAUAUGUGGAUGUCGGUCAAAUUAUAAUAUCUCAGCCUUGAAACGGUUGAUUUGUCGUAUUGGGUGCUCUUUUGAGGUUUACCUCAAGAAAGAUUCACUGCUAACAUUGUAAGGUUCUUUGCCUGCACUCUUUUAAAAGGCUACAGUGGCACCCUGAUAUUUUCUGCUACUAUUGAAUAGUUCACAUAAAUAAAUACCAUAUAUUUGAAUAAGUAAACAAGUAACAAGUUAUACUACCAUAUUUGAUAAAAAAUUAAUAGUCUACGAUAUAUUAUAAUAUAUGUUUUCUCCUAUCCAUAACAAAGAAUAAGUAAACAAGUAACAAGUUAUAUACAACCAUAUUUGAUAAAAGAAAUAUAGUCCAUGAUAUAUUAUAAUAUGUUUUCUCCUAUCCAUAACAAAGCAUGGAGAUUUUGCUAAUAGUAAAUACAUCUCAAAGAUAACUAUAUAUCAUUAUUCAACGAGCAACAGCUUCCAAUGAAUAUAAUGGUUCACAUCCUUCCUCUGCGCGUGAGGUGGACAUGAAGCGGGUGGAGCUUGUAGGCGGUGAGCUGCACGGUGUCCACCUUCUCCUCGUCACCCUCCCUCAGCCUCCACCCGAACUCCUGCACGAAGCGCGCGACGGCGGCGCACGCGAUGUGAGUCGCCUGCAGGCUCCCCGCGCAGGCCCUCCUCCCGGCGCCGAACGCCAUCGUCUUGUACAUGUCCGCCACCUCGAGCCUCCCGCCGGCGAACCUCUCCGGCACCCACUCCUCCGGCGACUCCCACUCCUUCCUGUUCAUGUUGCACCCGUACAGGUUGAUCACCAUCUGCCACAUGACCAUCACUUGUUAGAUUGUUAGGGGAUUUUGAUCACUGAUCGGCGAGUUGACCAGUGAUUAAAAUUUUGGACUCCCCAGGCAAGCAAUUAUAUCCCACCCGAAAACUCUACGAGAAGUCAAGAACGACAAGUUUGCCUGAUAUGAUAAAAAAUACUCCGUCCAAAAAUAUAAGAACCUAGCACAUGAUAGAAAAUUUCCUAGUAUUAGGAUAGAGGAAAUGUCAUAUCCGAUUCUAGGCUUCUAUAUUUUAGGACAGAGGGAGUAUUGGAUUUCAACGGGAUGUGCCAAGGCAGGUUUGAAACAAGGAUAUAGAAGAAAAGUGUAGCUUAAUCUUGUGUUAUUUUUAUUCAAAGCUUGUUUUCUUAUGGUCCACUGUGGAUAUAGAGGUCAGAUUUCUAUCAAUUAUCUUAAAAAUAACGCCCAAAAUUUUCAGAAUUUUCCAAAGUUUUGUGAAUUUGGUCAAAAUUUUAUACAAAUUCGGUUAAAAACUCAAAUAAUUUCGUGCAAAACAAGUACCGAAAACACGAAAGUUUCGGCCCGAGUGGUUGUGCUUACCUCGGUGCCGGCGGGGACGUCGUAGCCAGCGAGCUUGGUGUCCUCGUGGACGAACCUCGGAGGUAUGAGCGGGACAGGGGAGUGGCGGCGCAGCGUCUCGUGGAAGACGGCGUUGAGGUACGGCAGCCGUGGGAGGUGCUCCUCGGUGACCGUCUCGUCGCCGCACACCUCCCGGAUCUCUUGGUAAAGCCGUUCCUGGCAUGACAACAAGAAGAAGGCCAAAAAUAAAAAGCUUUGGUUGAUAAUGCCAAGAAUGCCAACAAUGAGCUGGAACAGAGUAACAAUAUUUCUUGCCUGUUUGUCAGGGUUCUUGGCAAGCUCAUACAUGGCCCAUUCUGUGGUGACCAAGGUAGUAUCUGCAGCCUCUAUGAGUGCCUCCCACACUAGCAUCAUCAGUUGCUCAUCUGUCAGUGUGUUCUCUGCCAGCAAGAAGUCCAGAUAGCAUGUCUUUGCCUGCACAUAUAUCUCAGUUUCAUGGAGUUAAAAGAUGAUCUCUGCAAGUUUUUUUUUUUUUUUGGCAUAGAAGCAAAUAUGAAAGAUGUCAUUUGUCAAAGUAUGCCUUUCCUCACCUCUCCACGCACAAUCCUUUCCUUCUGCUGCUUGAUCAAGGCGCGCAUCACCGCAGUUCGUCUAGUUUCUGUAGUAAACACUCUUGUUUCGAAGCUCUUGUUUGGAACCCAGCUGAGGUAGGGGAAGAAAUCUCUCCAGUCGACCUCAAUUGCGCACAUCAUCAUGUCGGUCACAGUAGCAUUGUAGAUUUCUUCCUUCGAAAUGUCCCUCCCAAAUUCAUCCACAUAGACUGAACUCACAUCCUCUCCUAAGCUC